AGAGCGAACGCUGGCGGCGUGCUUAACACAUGCAAGUCGAACGCGCAGCAUUCUGUAGCAAUACAGGGUGUGGGCGCGUGGCGAACGGGUGCGUAACACGUGGAUAACCUUCCUUGAGGUGGGGAAUAACCCAGUGAAAAUUGGGCUAAUACCGCAUAAUACCUUCGGGUCAAAGGAGCAAUUCGCUUAAGGAGGGGGUCGCGGCCGAUUAGUUAGUUGGCGGGGUAAUGGCCCACCAAGACUAUGAUCGGUA
Molecule: ribosomal RNA, 253 nt
Filed under: uncultured bacterium
Lineage: Bacteria
Description: partial small subunit ribosomal RNA
Rfam family: Bacterial small subunit ribosomal RNA
Source: RNAcentral